Molecule: ribosomal RNA, 418 nt
Filed under: uncultured bacterium
Lineage: Bacteria
Description: bacterial SSU rRNA
Rfam family: Bacterial small subunit ribosomal RNA
Source: RNAcentral
GGAAUAUUGGACAAUGGAGGGAACUCUGAUCCAGCCAUGCCGCGUGCAGGAUAAGGUCCUAUGGAUUGUAAACUGCUUUUGUCCGGGAGCAAUAAGGUCCACGUGUGGGUCGAUGAGAGUACCGUACGAAUAAGCAUCGGCUCACUCCGUGCCAGCAGCCGCGGUAAUACGGAGGAUGCGAGCGUUAUCCGGAUUUAUUGGGUUUAAAGGGUGCGUAGGCGGCUAUGUAAGUCAGCGGUGAAAUUCAGGCGCUCAACGUCUGUCGUGCCGUUGAAACUGCGUGGCUUGAAUGCGGAUGCCGUGGGAGGAAUGUGUGGUGUAGCGGUGAAAUGCAUAGAUAUCACACAGAACACCGAUUGCGAAGGCAUCUCACGAAUCCGCGAUUGACGCUGAGGCACGAAAGUGCGGGUAUCAAACA